AAAACUUUUUCGAAAGGAAAAUAAUCUGUUCUUAUCAGUUUAAGAUCUGAUACGUCCCCCAUCCGGGGACUACAUAUUAAAUGGAUUUUUAGAUCACGGAGCUGGAGCCGGGGCUUGCUCCGUCCACUCCAUGCAUCGGCCUGGUAUUGCAGUGUCUCCAGUGUCCCUUUUUGCAUA
This 177-nucleotide small nuclear RNA is filed under the name Carassius auratus (goldfish). RNAcentral describes it as "U2 spliceosomal RNA (ENSCARG00000064207.1)". It matches the Rfam family "U2 spliceosomal RNA". Rfam says of the family: U2 is a small nuclear RNA (snRNA) component of the spliceosome (involved in pre-mRNA splicing). Complementary binding between U2 snRNA (in an area lying towards the 5' end but 3' to hairpin I) and the branchpoint sequence (BPS) of the intron results the bulging out of an unpaired adenosine, on the BPS, which initiates a nucleophilic attack at the intronic 5' splice site, thus starting the first of two transesterification reactions that mediate splicing. The record is from Rfam by way of RNAcentral. Lineage: Eukaryota; Metazoa; Chordata; Actinopteri; Cypriniformes; Cyprinidae.